RNAcentral lists this ribosomal RNA (492 nucleotides) under uncultured bacterium. Its description in RNAcentral is "partial 16S ribosomal RNA". It matches the Rfam family "Bacterial small subunit ribosomal RNA", at positions 29 to 507 of the family's 1533-position model. The record is from RNAcentral.
AGUGAACGCUGGCGGUAGGCCUAACACAUGCAAGUCGAACGGCAGCACAGUAAGAGCUUGCUCUUACGGGUGGCGAGUGGCGGACGGGUGAGGAAUACAUCGGAAUCUACUUUUUCGUGGGGGAUAACGUAGGGAAACCUACGCUAAUACCGCAUACGACCUACGGGUGAAAGCAGGGGAUCUUCGGACCUUUCGCGAUUGAAUGAGCCGAUGUCGGAUUAGCUAGUUGGCGGGGUAAAGGCCCACCAAGGCGACGAUCCGUAGCUGGUCUGAGAGGAUGAUCAGCCACACUGGAACUGAGACACGGUCCAGACUCCUACGGGAGGCAGCAGUGGGGAAUAUUGGACAAUGGGCGCAAGCCUGAUCCAGCCAUACCGCGUGAGUGAAGAAGGCCUUCGGGUUGUAAAGCCCUUUUGUUGGGAAAGAAAAGCAGCAGGUUAAUACCCCGCUGUUCUGACGGUACCCAAAGAAUAAGCACCGGCUAACUUCGUG